CCUACGGGUGGCUGCAGUGAGGAAUAUUGGUCAAUGGGCGGAAGCCUGAACCAGCCAAGUAGCGUGCGGGAUGAAUGCCCUACGGGUCGUAAACCGCUUUUACACGGGGAUAACACCCUCCACUUGUGGAGGUCUGCAUGUACCGUGCGAAUAAGGGCCGGCUAAUUCCGUGCCAGCAGCCGCGGUAAUACGGAGGGCCCGAGCGUUAUCCGGAUUCAUUGGGCUUAAAGGGGGCGUAGGCGGGCGUUAAAGUCAGCUGUAAAAUCUCGGGGCUCAACCGCGAACCGCAGUUGAAACUGGGAGCCUUGAGUUCACAACAGGCAGGCGGAAUUCGUGGUGUAGCGGUGAAAUGCAUAGAUAUCACGAGGAACCCCGAUUGCGAAGGCAGCCUGCCGGAGUGCGACUGACGCUGAGGCUCGAAGGUGCGGGUAUCAAACAGGAUUAGAUACCCGUGUAGUC
This 459-nucleotide ribosomal RNA is filed under the name uncultured bacterium. RNAcentral describes it as "partial 16S ribosomal RNA". It matches the Rfam family "Bacterial small subunit ribosomal RNA", at positions 338 to 795 of the family's 1533-position model. The record is from RNAcentral.